This 392-nucleotide ribosomal RNA is filed under the name uncultured bacterium. Its description in RNAcentral is "bacterial SSU rRNA". It matches the Rfam family "Bacterial small subunit ribosomal RNA", at positions 28 to 419 of the family's 1533-position model. The record is from RNAcentral.
GACGAACGCUGGCGGCGUGCUUAACACAUGCAAGUCGAGCGGUAAGGCCCUUUCGGGGGUACGACGAGCGGCGAACGGGUGAGUAACACGUGGGUGACCUGCCCUUACGCUCUGGGAUAAGCCUGGGAAACUGGGUCUAAUACCGGAUAUGACCUCAUGACGCAUGUUGUGGGGUGGAAAGCCUUGUGCGGCUAGGGAUGGGCCCGCGGCCUAUCAGCUUGUUGGUGGGGUGAUGGCCUACCAAGGCGACGACGGGUAGCCGGCCUGAGAGGGCGACCGGCCACACUGGGACUGAGACACGGCCCAGACUCCUACGGGAGGCAGCAGUGGGGAAUCUUGCGCAAUGGGCGAAAGCCUGACGCAGCGACGCCGCGUGAGGGAUGACGGCCUGG